This is a long non-coding RNA of Mus musculus (house mouse), 2628 nucleotides long. RefSeq annotates it as predicted gene 10584. The transcript has a single exon. NCBI's taxonomy places the organism in Eukaryota, Metazoa, Chordata, Mammalia, Rodentia, Muridae. The record is from RefSeq and is marked predicted.
UAAACGUGAACACAAAUGAGCGCAAGCCGGCCAAUCGAUUCGCCAGAAGGAGAAAGAAGGCGCUUCCCCUGCUCUCCAUUCAUUCCCUGCACAGUCUGGCUCCCCUCGCCCUGCCGCCAUCCAGGAUCCCCCGGGCUCCACAUGGGCAAGUGCGCCAAGACCCGCUACCAGACACAACGCCCGCUUCCACUCCAUUGGAGCACACAGCCCCACGGACUAGCACGCUAUCAACAUCCUCAGCGUCGCUCCUCGCGUCCGGGCCCCUGCCUUCUCGGCUUCCACCAUCACCACCCGCCACCGCCGCCCCCACGGCUUAGCUCAGAGCUGCCUCGUUCUGCUCUCUGCUCCCCAGCUGGCGGGAGACACAGCUGAGACUCCCUAGUCAGGCCGCUUCGGGGACUAGGGUACAGCGACGAUGGGAAAAGCGGCGAGUAAAAAAAGUUGAGACUGAUCCCUCGGUUCCUCCCAGGCCUGUCCCCACGGUGUCUCCUCGGGAAUCUUGCUCCCACAGACGCUGACGCCUGGGGCUGUUCCCCGAGACCCACACGAGCCUUCCCACCCAGAGCGGCAGUGCGGCUAGAGCCCGGAUUCCCGAGGCGGCUCCGAUUGGUACCCAGAGACAGUGGCAGAUGCCCACGUACCUGCCCCAGGCUACGCCUGGAAACUUCCCCUAAAGUGUGCGGGGGAGGGGCAGUGAACACGACUAGGGGAAUCCCGGUCCCCAGCUCUGCCUGUGGAGAGCUCGCUCCAGAAAAUCGCCGAUCUGUCUAUUCAUUGGCCUUAUAUCAGUCGUCCUUCCCUCUCAGUUCCUGGCCGACCCAGGGUCGCGCGAAUUCUGACUCCUUGGGGCGGUUCUGCGGGACAGCUAGCCGGUGCGUGCCCCGCGGCGUGCGUCCUCCGCCGGCCUCCAGCUGUCCACAGCGCCACCACGCCAGCACCCGGUCCUCUGUCUUGGAGCUCGGACCACAUUCGCUCUGUCUAGGGAGGGGGCGUGUGAGCCCCGGCUCCGCCACCGGUAGUCCUUCCCGCAGGGUCCCCAGGCGUGCUGGGCACCUAGAGCACGGCCAGGACCGCGCAGCGAAAAGGACGCCUCCUACAGGGGACCGUGCCUGUAGCGAGGAGGCCUGACCGAGGGGUGCGGGCCCAAACCUGCCGGAGCUCGGCGCGCUCCAAGUUCAUUGUCUGCCUGGGCCGCCGCCGCCUCCGCGUCCGGAGCCUCCGCGCAGGGAGUGAAGCUGCACACAGCCCUGGCGGUCCGGACUCCCAGCGCCCAUUCCCCGCCAACCUGGGCGAACCCGCAGAGGGGCACCGGGACCCAGAGCCAAACCUCCGCCCGCCGCUACUCGCCACCCCCUGCCCAGUCACCCAGAGCCCAACUUGUACCUGAAAAGCCCAAGACGAUCUCGGAAGCCUCUGCAGCUCCGACUCCGCGGGAGCGCGCGCCCAGCCCCGCGCCUAGCACCCCGCACCCAGGGCGCGUCAACCUGACUCCCCGAGCGCUGGGAGGAAAAGUUUGGGAGUGACUUGCAGAUGGCGAAUGAAACCUCUGAACAGAACCCUCCCCCCGCCCCAUGUCGCGCUGACACACAUCAGCUCGAGUCUGGAAUGCAAGAUCAAGGCGUGCGCGCCCUGCUGAGCGGUGGGUUUGGUCCCCGCCCCCUCGCCCAGCAAGUAAAUACAGUUUGUGUAUUGCGGUGACUCCGACAAGACAAAACCGAAACCUGGUGUGUGUGGCAGUGACCCGGCUACCAGAAACAGUUUUAAGGAACUUGGCAGUCUAGAGACAGCCCAUACAUUGAUAUUCAAGGCCACUGACGCGAGUGGUUUCGGCGCCCUCUGUUGUAUUUUUGCAUUCUACAAAGGCUGCCUAGCUCUUGGGCCCUGUAGGUUUGCUUCUUCUGAGAGGUAAGGUUCUACAGGACCCCGAGUACCACUGCCGCAGUGGCCUACUGGGACUGCUUCAAGGAAAGGCUCCAGUGAUCGGCUGUGGGCUGAAGAUGAAAUCAGUUAACAUAAAAUAUGACACCUUAAACUCUUAAGACUUGUUCGGGACAGCCUUUGGAGCACCAAACCCCAGACUCUGGGGAAUAGGAUAGAAGCCACAGUCUUGGGUCUGCCCACGUUCCUAUGGCCAGAGUCCAGCAUCUUCUUUCUUGAAGCAACCGGGAAAAUGCUCCCUAACUGUAAAAUGCUGGCAUAUGUGCUAAAGGUGAUUCUAGAGAACGGGAGCCCCUUUCAGUCUUGUUUGAGGUUCCCACCUCACCCCCCAAAGUCCUAGAGUUCUGGUUCAGCAUCCACGGCGACUGAGUCAGAGGUCACAAUCAGAGGGUCACGACUGCAGAUAGGAACCCUGGAUGACAGGGGAGUUCUUAAAAACCACUGUCUAGCUUCCCAACAAAUACUGCCUCUUAUAUAAAAAUCUGCAAAGAAAGAUUAAUGAAGCAGUGAGACUGCCCUCCCAGUCGGUAGACUGGAUUGCUUUUCCCCCCAUGUAGACUUGGCUUAGUGAUUUGGAGGUCUUUAUUAUUUUUUUUAAACAAAAACCUUUUUUUUUCUAAAAAUACAAUGAGCUGGUUUUUGCAGAGUUCACAAUUCCCAAUAGAUAAUGAUGCCAUUUUUCAUGGUCUU